RNAcentral lists this long non-coding RNA (341 nucleotides) under Elaeis guineensis (African oil palm). Its description in RNAcentral is "long non-coding RNA (EGUI_LNC008789)". Lineage: Eukaryota; Viridiplantae; Streptophyta; Magnoliopsida; Arecales; Arecaceae. The record is from RNAcentral.
GGUGCAUGGGCUUUGAUCUCAAAAGAACUUGGUGGUCUUUGAUCUCCUCCCUUCUCUAUCUACCUAUCUAUCUAUAUGUGCAUACACAUAUGCAAAUUAAUAUACAUAUAUGCGUGCUUUAUAAAAGAACUUGGUGGUCUUAAUUUGAUCUCCAAAGAAUUUUGGUGGCCUUUGAUCUCAAAAGAACUUGGUGGCCUUUGAUCUCCUCCCGUCUCUAUCUAUCCAUCUUUCUAGAUGCCAUUAGAUAUGAUUUUGCCAUCGUUGCAAUAAAAGAACUGAAACAUAUAUAUGCAUCUGGUCAUGUGUGGAGAUGUGGCUGGUGUUCCACAUAAAGGAGAGAA